AGGGGGCAUGUGAGGGCUGUCGCUGACUCAAAGUCGUGCACGCCCGAGUGUGUCCUCUCGCAUAAUAAUCCAUCUCACCCUUUGUGCAUCGCCGCGUGGGCACCCUUUGGGAUCAUCUCGGAGGGGGCUCGCGUUUUCACACAAACCCCCCUUUUAAAAGUGUAGAAUGACCUCAUUUAUGCGCUAACACGCAAUCAAUACAACUUUCAACAACGGAUCUCUUGGCUCUCGCAUCGAUGAAGAACGCAGCGAAAUGCGAUACGUAAUGUGAAUUGCAGAAUUCAGUGAAUCAUCGAAUCUUUGAACGCACCUUGCGCCCCUUGGUAUUCCGAGGGGCACACCCGUUUGAGUGUCGUGAAAACCUCAACCUCCUUGGUUUCUUCUGGAGACCAAAGGCAGGCUUGGACUUUGGAGGCCUUUGCUGGAACCUCUCUCUUUUGAAGGCCAGCUCCUCUUAAACGAAUUAGCAGGGUCCUCUUUGCCGAUCCUCGACGUGUGAUAAGAUGUUUCCAUGUCUUGGUUUCUGGCUCUGUCACCUUUGGGACCCGCUUCUAACCGUCUUGACCUUGCGUCGAGACAACGUUCGAGCAUGUCUCCCUUCUCGGGAAGCUCCCUCGACCCCACGAACCCUUGACCUCAAAUCGGGUGAGACUACCCGCUGAACUUAAGCAUAUCAAUAAGCGGAGGAAAAGAAACUAACAAGGAUUCCCCUAGUAACUGCGAGUGAAGCGGGAAAAGCUCAAAUUUAAAAUCUGGCGGUCUUUGGCCGUCCGAGUUGUAAUUUAGAGAAGCGUCYUUCCGCGCUGGACCGUGUACAAA
This 819-nucleotide ribosomal RNA is filed under the name Lactarius obscuratus. RNAcentral's name for it is "eukaryotic LSU rRNA". The stretch from base 202 to 355 matches the Rfam family "5.8S ribosomal RNA". The record is from RNAcentral. Lineage: Eukaryota; Fungi; Basidiomycota; Agaricomycetes; Russulales; Russulaceae.